Nannospalax galili (Upper Galilee mountains blind mole rat) is the source of this 773-nucleotide long non-coding RNA. RefSeq lists it as uncharacterized. The record is from RefSeq and is a predicted model, not a curated record. The transcript is spliced from 3 exons. NCBI's taxonomy places the organism in Eukaryota, Metazoa, Chordata, Mammalia, Rodentia, Spalacidae.
UGACCAGCAGCUGCCCAAGCGCUGUGCUGGUUACUUGCAUGCAGCCUUUGAUUUCCCUCUCCACAGCUUGAGGAGGUAGGCAUGAUCUCCCUGUGCCCCUGAGAGGAGAGACUGAGUCUCCCUGAGGUCAGGUAAUGAGGCUUGUCACUGUGGAACUUCUGGAAGACACGACUUCCUGACACCAGGGCCUCCUGCAGUGCAGAGUAAUUGGGGACCAAGACACUCUGGAAGAAAGGAGGAGACAGGAAGGAGGAGCACAGGAGGCAGGGCAGAAGGUCCUGCCAUUGUCAGGAGGUCACAGAUAGCUGCAUUAAGGCUUAUGACAGAAGAGUGGCUUGCCCAUGGUGGCGUUGGCACAGCCAGGGACAGAAAUCCAAGUUACUGCAUCCCAGCCUGGCUCCUCCCAGCUGCCCCAGAGAACUCCGUCUUCCUGCCUGAUUAUUGGAUUCCAACAGCUCUGUUUUAGAGAAUAAUUCUAUUGUCCUCAUUACGCAUCUCAGUAUUCUAAACCACCUUACAUCUGCUUUGGAGGCAGGCAGAGGAAACAUCAUAAACCCAUAUGUACAAUCACUAUGCUCCCUCUGGUCAUUCAGCUCUGGUGUGUGCUCCCUUGUGUGUGGAAAUAAAGGAGGAUGACUUGGAGCCUGGAUCUUGACAAGGUCACAAUCAGUGUGAGGUUAAGGGCAGAGGCUGGUAGGCCCUGUGUAUCCUCAGAAGGGUGAUGGGCUGGCAUGCCCUCUUGUGUUCUAUUGGUAUUGGACUCGAGGUAGUGA